Molecule: non-coding RNA, 30 nt
Filed under: Rattus norvegicus (Norway rat)
Lineage: Eukaryota; Metazoa; Chordata; Mammalia; Rodentia; Muridae
Source: RNAcentral
UGGAAGAUGACAGUCUCUUGGAUCCCUCAC